RNAcentral lists this ribosomal RNA (497 nucleotides) under uncultured bacterium. RNAcentral describes it as "partial 16S ribosomal RNA". It matches the Rfam family "Bacterial small subunit ribosomal RNA", at positions 28 to 507 of the family's 1533-position model. The record is from RNAcentral.
GACGAACGCUGGCGGCGUGCCUAAUACAUGCAAGUUGAGCGAUGAAGAUUGGUGCUUGCACCAAUUUGAAGAGCAGCGAACGGGUGAGUAACGCGUGGGGAAUCUGCCUUUGAGCGGGGGACAACAUUUGGAAACGAAUGCUAAUACCGCAUAACAACUUUAAACAUAAGUUUUAAGUUUGAAAGAUGCAAUUGCAUCUCUCAAAGAUGAUCCCGCGUUGUAUUAGCUAGUUGGUGAGGUAAAGGCUCACCAAGGCGAUGAUACAUAGCCGACCUGAGAGGGUGAUCGGCCACAUUGGGACUGAGACACGGCCCAAACUCCUACGGGAGGCAGCAGUAGGGAAUCUUCGGCAAUGGACGAAAGUCUGACCGAGCAACGCCGCGUGAGUGAAGAAGGUUUUCGGAUCGUAAAACUCUGUUGGUAGAGAAGAACGUUGGUGAGAGUGGAAAGCUCAUCAAGUGACGGUAACUACCCAGAAAGGGACGGCUAACUACGUG